GGUAGUCCACGCUGUAAACGAUGUCGAUUUGGAGGUUGUUCCCUUGAGGAGUGGCUUCCGGAGCUAACGCGUUAGAUCGACCGCCUGGGGAGUACGGCCGCAAGGUUAAAACUCAAAUGAAUUGACGGGGGCCCGCACAAGCGGUGGAGCAUGUGGUUUAAUUCGAUGCAACGCGAAGAACCUUACCUACUCUUGACAUCCAGAGAAUUUAGCAGAGGUGCUUUAGUGCCUUCGGGAACUCUGAGACAGGUGCUGCAUGGCUGUCGUCAGCUCGUGUUGUGAAAUGUUGGGUUAAGUCCCGCAACGAGCGCAACCCUUAUCCUUUGUUGCCAGCGAUUCGGUCGGGAACUCAAAGGAGACUGCCGGUGAUAAACCGGAGGAAGGUGAGGAUGACGUCAAGUCAUCAUGGCCCUUACGAGUAGGGCUACACACGUGCUACAAUGGCGUAUACAAAGAGAAGCGACCUCGCGAGAGCAAGCGGAACUCAUAAAGUACGUCGUAGUCCGGAUUGGAGUCUGCAACUCGACUCCAUGAAGUCGGAAUCGCUAGUAAUCGUAGAUCAGAAUGCUACGGUGAAUACGUUCCCGGGCCUUGUACACACCGCCCGUCACACCAUGGGAGUGGGUUGCAAAAGAAGUAGGUAGCUUAACCUUCGGGAGGGCGCUUACCACUUUGUGAUUCAUGACUGGGGUGAAGUCGUAACAAGGUAACCA
This 713-nucleotide ribosomal RNA is filed under the name uncultured Enterobacteriaceae bacterium. RNAcentral's name for it is "bacterial SSU rRNA". It matches the Rfam family "Bacterial small subunit ribosomal RNA", at positions 789 to 1502 of the family's 1533-position model. Lineage: Bacteria; Pseudomonadati; Pseudomonadota; Gammaproteobacteria; Enterobacterales; Enterobacteriaceae. The record is from RNAcentral.